Molecule: long non-coding RNA, 984 nt
Filed under: Nicotiana benthamiana
Lineage: Eukaryota; Viridiplantae; Streptophyta; Magnoliopsida; Solanales; Solanaceae
Description: long non-coding RNA (NBEN_LNC019270)
Source: RNAcentral
AGUCCGUUGCCCAGGUAGGGGUUCAUUUGGUAGAUUAGUCCUAUAUACAAAAUUUCGGUCGAAAUUUAUGGGGUUCGGUGACCCCUCACGCAUACACACAGGUUCCCCUCUACAUGGAUCCAUGCCAUCACCUACCUUUGGAUGACUGACCAUUGCUACAACCACUAACCACCCCCACCGUCGGCCACUUUUCAUCAUUAGUCACCAUCUUUAAUCACUCUACCACCAAUCUCCAUUGUACAACCACCAAUCAUCUUCACCACUAGUUAUCAUCACCAAUCACCUUUAUCACUUCAAUUAUUCAACCAACAAGACUAAUCACCACCACCAACCACCACUAUUUGCCACACGCACAUCCAUCACCUCUGAGCACCAUCACACAACUACCAUCGACUACCAUUGAGCAAUCAUAAUCUCAGCCUUCUCCACACAAUCACGACGGCCACCAAAGAAACUAUUCUUUCUCUAAUAUUUAUAUUAACUAGGAAAGAAAUUGGACUAUUUAACCCUUAUUUAUGUCAUAAAAUACAAUUCCUCUUCAUGAUGAUGUCCAUCUCAUUGAAGAAGUAUUAGGCAUGUGCCUAAUGAAAGUUUCUUUGGUUUGGUAUCCAACCUUGUUGACUUGGUUUGGUUAGGUAGCCAACUUUGUUGAAUUAGUUUGGUUUGGUAGCCAACCUUGUUGAAUUUUCUUUGGGUUGGUAGCAUUGUUGACUUGAUUUGGUUAGGUAGCCAACUUCGUUGAAUUAGUUUGGUUUGGUAGCCAACCUUGUUGAAUUAGUUUGGUUUGGUAGCCAACCUUAUUAAAUUUCUUUGGUUUGAAAGCCAAAUUUGUUGAAUUGUGAAAAGUGUGUGUAAAUUGUCAAAUAUUGUAGGCUUUAGAGAGUGAUGCUUUGGCUAUAAAAGGAGAGUUUCAACUCUCAUUUCCAUACACCAACAAAGAGAGAAAGAAAGAGUGAGGUUUCACAGACAAGGUAUAAGAAAAUA